GGCCGAAAUUCGCCUUCCAUGAAGCCGGAAUUGCUAGUAAUGGCAGGUCAGCAUACUGCCGUGAAUACGUUCCCGGGCCUUGUACACACCGCCCGUCACACCAUGAGAGUUGGGAAUACCCGAAGCCUGUGAGCUAACGUUAAGAGGCAGCAGUCGAAGGUAGAAUCAAUGAUUGGGGUGAAGUCGUAACAAGGUAUC
RNAcentral lists this ribosomal RNA (198 nucleotides) under uncultured bacterium. RNAcentral describes it as "partial 16S ribosomal RNA". It matches the Rfam family "Bacterial small subunit ribosomal RNA", at positions 1303 to 1500 of the family's 1533-position model. The record is from RNAcentral.